Long non-coding RNA from Amphiprion ocellaris (clown anemonefish), 1887 nucleotides. RefSeq lists it as uncharacterized. Lineage: Eukaryota; Metazoa; Chordata; Actinopteri; Pomacentridae. The transcript has 3 exons. The record is from RefSeq and is a predicted model, not a curated record.
UCAUUUUUUACAUAAGACCUAUAUCAUACAUCUAUAAAAGAUCCAAAUGCAUGAUUAUUCUGGUCACAAUUUCGUCAUAGAAAAUUCAGAUAUUCUAUAUAGGACUCACCAGAGUCAUAGGAGUUAUAGGAAUCAUUGGAAACUCCGACUGCCAUGAUAUACAGGGGUCCGUGUACCUUCCGUUCAUUUUAUUUCUAAUUCUGAAACGCAAAUCGAAAAACAAAUUUAGGGCCAUUUUUUCUUUUGUCAUUUCUGAAACAAAAAUCGGACAACUAUUUAAUGAUCCGUUUUUUGGUCCGUGUACGGAUCUGGUAAUUGGAUUUUCCGUUCUGAAACGGGUAUUGAAAAACAAAAAAAAACGAGUGGUUAUUUGAUUUUCGUUUUAAAAUACAAAAAUUUAAAUUGAAAUACAAGGCGUUUUUCCGUUUCAUGAUCAAAAAGGGAAAUACUAUUUUUUUUAUGCUUUGAUUUUCGUUUUAUAUUUACAAUAAAAAGAAAGUAAAAUCAGUAAGAGACAGAAACGAAAAAAUGUCCGUUUUUUCAUUUUCUGAGACCGGAAGUGGUCAUCAGCAAGUGUGGAGCCAGAGUACGGUGCAUAGACUGUAUAUACAUUUUUUUUUCGUGAGUUUUCAUGGUCAAAAUAAGAGAUCAGGUGGCCGAUCUUAAAAUAAAUCAAUAUUGAUUUUUUUUAUAGAGCGUUAAAGUUUUGCGAAGCCAGGGGGCGGGACUACUUGAUUGACAGUGCGGUCUGGAAUGAUUGACAGGUCCUAUGGAGGAGGCAGCAGAGACUCUGUUCUCCUCGUUUGGAUUAAUUCUGACAUAAUAACUGUUGGUUUAUUUAACGGUGGAGCAGCGGAACAUUUUCCACAGACAGUUUUCCUGCCCGUUGGCUUGUUUUAACCAGUUUUUUUUUUUUUUUACCUUCGGCUGAUUCUACCAGCAGACACUGAAAGGACUCUGAUAGUUCGAGUGAAAGUAGCAAUUCCUCCUUAAGGUCAGAGAUUGCAGCAUCUGAGGGCCUCUUCAAAAGAAGACGUAGUUGAUGAAGGCGUUCUGGAGCAGGACCAGAAAGACCACGACCAAGCAGCCUUGAGAUCUUAGGCAGCGUCUCCCUCAGGUCCCUCUCUAUCUCCCCACACAUCCACCAACCACUGGAACACAUCUCCAAAGUUCUGCCGGGCCAGCUCAGCUUCCCCUCAGAAGAAGUGCCGCCACCUGCCAGAUGAAGGAGCCUUUUGAGAGGCAGCUGGCAUCGUGAUUGGACUGUACUUUGGUCUGUUCCAGUCCAGCUUCAGCUCCAGAGACGGCAGGCGGGACGAGUCAACGGAGGCCGGGUGGACGAAGGCAUGCAGCUGAGUCGAAAAAAAAAUGCGAUUUUUUUCAACAUGUUGUAAAAACGUGCCAUAUGAUGAAAUAAUGUAAAGGAGGCUGUGAAAAACACUAUGGUAAGGUUCUCUUUGAAAAAAAAAAUCAUCAUGAAUUUUGGCGCAAAAAAACACCAUAGUAUACUAUGUCGAAAAAAAUGUCAUUUUUCAACAUGUUGUAAAAACGUGCCAUAUGAUGAAAUAAUGUAAAGGAGGCCGUGAAAAACACUAGAAAGGUUUUCUUUGAAAAAAAAAUCAUCAUGAAUUUUGGCGCAAAAAAACGCCAUAGUAUACUAUGUCGAAAAAAAAAUGUGAUUUUUCAACAUGUUGUAAAAACGUGCCAUAUGAUGAAAUAAUGUAAAGGAGGCUGUGAAAAACACUCCAGAAAGGUUUUCUUUGAAAAAAAAUCAUCAUGAAUUUUGGCGCAAAAAAACGCCAUAGUAUACUAUGUCGAAAAAAAAUGCGAUUUUUCAACAUGUUGUAAAAACGUGCCAUAUGAUGAAAUAAUGUAAAGGAGGCCGUG